Molecule: long non-coding RNA, 229 nt
Filed under: Elaeis guineensis (African oil palm)
Lineage: Eukaryota; Viridiplantae; Streptophyta; Magnoliopsida; Arecales; Arecaceae
Description: long non-coding RNA (EGUI_LNC066925)
Source: RNAcentral
GUUUAUUGAGAAUUUGUUUAAUUUGUUCUUCUAAAAUACUCAUAAAUUGAGUUUUUGGGUUAGGAGUUGAGUUUGAUGCAAUGGGUACUGGAAGGUUGUUACUUGAUUCAUUGUGUGCUCCUUGCUUUUUAUAAGAAGAACUGGCUUCUAGGCUAAAGGAAAUAGGACCUAGGUUUAUAUGUCGGAUGACUCUUCUGCUCUCUUCUUUUUUUUUUAAUUUUUCUCACUC